AAUUUAUGCACGAGGAAGUCCAUGCAGUGCAUUAGAAAAUAAUUUUGACUUUAACAAUGUUCUAUGUACUAGGAUUAUCUUAGAGUGGUCAUAAGAUUUGGUACUAGGCUCAUUGUAUUGGGAUUAAUUGGGUCCAUCCAUCACGUUAAUUUGGGUGGUGAGUUCAAUGUAUGGGAUGGAGGAUAAAGCCUGUAAAUCUCUGUACGCC
This 208-nucleotide long non-coding RNA is filed under the name Malus domestica (apple). RNAcentral's name for it is "long non-coding RNA (MDOM_LNC009868)". Lineage: Eukaryota; Viridiplantae; Streptophyta; Magnoliopsida; Rosales; Rosaceae. The record is from RNAcentral.